Molecule: ribosomal RNA, 406 nt
Filed under: uncultured bacterium
Lineage: Bacteria
Description: partial 16S ribosomal RNA
Rfam family: Bacterial small subunit ribosomal RNA
Source: RNAcentral
AUUGAACGCUGGCGGCAGGCCUAACACAUGCAAGUCGAGCGAGCGGCGGACGGGUGAGUAAUGUCUGGGAAACUGCCUGAUGGAGGGGGAUAACUACGGGAAACGGUAGCUAAUACCGCAUACCAUACGAUGUGCCCAGAUGGGGUUAGCUAGUAGGUGGGGUAACGGCUCACCUAGGCGACGAUCCCUAGCUGGUCUGAGAGGAUGACCAGCCACUCUGGAAAUGGGACACGGUCCCGACUCCUACGAGAAGCAGUAGUGGUGAAUAUUGCACAAUGGGCGCAAGCCUGAUGCUGCCAUGCCGCGUGUGUGAAGAAGGCCUUCGCGUUGUAAAGCACUUUCAGCGGCGAGGCGUUACCCGCAGAAUAAGCACCGGCUAACUCCUGACCAGCAGCCGCGGUAAUAC